AAUUUAAAGUUGAAUCACAGCUGCAAAAAAGAAAAACUAAAUUUCAUUGUCCAAAUUGAAAUUGGUUGAAUGAAAAGUAAAGUCGAGAGAUGAAUAAAAUUAUCAUAGAAACGUCUUUCUUUUUCGACAUUUUUGACCUGAGCAUCAUAGCAUAUAUGUUUCUGUCCAUCAUAGCAUAUAUGUUCCUAUCGUAGAGCAAGUGUUUUCUUGCUUUUAAUAUUUCAUUCCAAGCUUAAAAUGGAGGAAUUUUUUAGGGAUGUUUGAGAAAAUUGUAGCAGUCCUUUUAGAUGGGUCUAGGUGAGAAAUUUUUUUAAGGAUGCUAAACGUGCAAUACAACCUCUACCUUCGAAGUUAUGUGUCACCCCUGAUGGUCGUCCUGUCACAUCACCAUCUUGGUACACCAUUUUCUUUGUAAGCUAAGUAUCGCCCAUUGCUAUGUUUAAUUCUAGGUACUCCAUCUUCAAUUCUUAAUAGCUCACAGGAGCGAUAUCCCGAUGCUAUGGAAGAUGGUGAAUAAGUUUGGUUGUUACGUCUCUUGUUGUAUUUUUCAAUUCAAGGAAUGAUUAUAUCUACAUCUUCUUGGUAAAUUUUAUAACACCUAAUGACAUUGAGAACAACUCGGAGGUUGUGUCAGCAAAAUUUCAACGUCAGUAACACACUUAUAGUCUGUCAAUUAUUUUGGUCACCUUUAAGCUUAAUAUGUUUUUAUGACUUUUAUCUAUUACUAAUCAGAAAUAAAUAGUUUAUUCUAAUUUUGAUGAUUUAACUGAAAAUAAGAAACAGUUGGAUUUGGAUUAAAGGCGACGAGAUUUAUGAAAAUUGUGACGAGGAAGAUGAAGAGUAGAUUUAGACGUCGUUUUUUAAUUUUCAGAAGUCUUUUUCCUGCUACAAAGAAUGUAUAUGUUUGGGAGUGCACCUUUAAAGAGUGUAAAUUAUUAAGAAAAGACAAUAUCAAUGCUACUUUGGUUGUUCUGUUGGCAAUAGUGACUACAUAUUAUUUACACACACUCUAAGCAUGGUCUAUCCAUAGGUGAACAUAGGUGAGCAUUCUGACUUCUGAAAGGAAAGAUCUAAUGAUUACAACAUGUAUAUUAAUUGUUGGUGGGACAGCUGCCGCAUACAUGCAGCCACAAAUAAGAGGCAUGAUUCUACGCAAUGCAGUGGAGUGAAUGGUUGUAUAAUAGAUCCAAUUAAGCAGAUUGGAAAGGGUAAUAAUAUGAAGAAAAGCAGCAGGCAAGACAAAGGAGAUUUGAAGUCUAUAAAAAUUUAGCAGUCAUUAUGAUAUAUAAUUGGUAGAAUGGGUACAAGAGAUUUGUUGGCUUUGCUAACAUAGAGUUGAGUGAGAUUCCUUACUCAGAGAAUAAUUUUCACUCCUAACUUAAAGCAUAUAUGUUGUUGUUCAACCUCUUCCAGGAUCUGAAAAUUUUGGAGUAUGUAAAAUGUAUAGAAAGUGUAUAUUGUAGUUUUUAGAGCAGAAAAAAGAUAAAGCAUUGAGACUUGUCAAAAAGGAAAAGAUAAGAAAAAACUCGAACACUUUAAAGAUUUCAAUAGUUAAUAGUAUAUGCAUAUACGACCAUUAAUUUUGG
Non-coding RNA from Solanum lycopersicum (tomato), 1586 nucleotides. The record is from RefSeq and is a predicted model, not a curated record. Lineage: Eukaryota; Viridiplantae; Streptophyta; Magnoliopsida; Solanales; Solanaceae.